AUUAGCAGCCAUAUCACCCUGCAGCCCAAGACUGGUUGCCCACUGAAGCUAAGCAGGGUUGAGCCUGGUCAGUACCUGGAUGGGAGACCUCCUGGGAAAACUAGGUUGCUGCUGGAA
RNAcentral lists this ribosomal RNA (117 nucleotides) under Sinocyclocheilus anshuiensis. Lineage: Eukaryota; Metazoa; Chordata; Actinopteri; Cypriniformes; Cyprinidae. The record is from RNAcentral.